GUGAAGACGCACAGAUGCAUGCUUUAUUUGCAGAUUCUUUUGCUGCUUUGGGCCGUUUGGAUAACAUUACGUUAGUGAUGGUUUUCCACCCACAAUAUUUAGAAAGUUUCUUAAAAACUCAGCACUAUCUACUGCAAAUGGAUGGGCCGUUACCCCUACAUUAUCGUCACUACAUUGGAAUAAUGGCUGCGGCAAGACAUCAGUGCUCCUACUUAGUGAACCUGCAUGUAAAUGAUUUCCUUCAUGUUGGUGGGGACCCCAAGUGGCUCAAUGGUUUAGAGAAUGCUCCUCAAAAACUACAGAAUUUAGGAGAACUUAACAAAGUGUUAGCCCAUAGACCUUGGCUUAUUACCAAAGAACACAUUGAGGUAAGCAGUGGGGUAAUAUAUCUUGGGAGUCAUUUCAGACUUUUUUAGAGCAGUUUUAGGAUUACAGAAAAAUCGCACAGAAAGUACAGAGAGUUCCUAUUUUCUACCCCCUGAAUCUCUUCCCACAGAUGCACAUUUUCUUCUGUUACAGCAUUUCUGUGGUACAUUUGCUGUAAUUGAUAUAUUACUAGUAACUCUAUAGUUCACAUUAGGGUUCAGUCUUUGCAUUGUAUCGUUCUACACAUUUUGACAAAUGCCUAAUGUCACGCAUCCAUUACAAUAUCAUAUGGAAUAGUUAGUACCCUAAAAAUGCCCUGGGUUCCACCUGUUCAUCCCUUUCCCCCCCUUUCCCCUUCCCCUAAACCCCUGCAACCACUCAUCUUUUUAUUGUUUCUAUAUAGUUUUGCCUUUUCCAGAAUGUCAUACAGCUGGAAUCAUACAAAAGUAUGUAGCUUUUCAGACUGGCUUCUUUCAUCUAGCAACAUCCAUUUAAGGCUUCUUCAUGCUUUUUCACGACUUGAUAGUUCAUUUCUUUUUAUCACUGAAUAAUUC
This 920-nucleotide long non-coding RNA is filed under the name Homo sapiens (human). Its description in RNAcentral is "non-protein coding lnc-CD164-3:1". The record is from RNAcentral. Lineage: Eukaryota; Metazoa; Chordata; Mammalia; Primates; Hominidae.